CGGAAGUAAAAGUCGUAACAAGGUUUCCGUAGGUGAACCUGCGGAAGGAUCAUUAAUAAAUGGUCUACGUUUUUUAAGUAGCACUUAAUAAUCAUCCUACCCUUUGUGAAUUUGUUGUUUGAAAUAAUUUUUUUUUAAAAUUAUUGAUUGUCUUUCCCUGUUGAAUAGAAUGGUUUUUCGAACAAUGAAUUCGCAGGGGAGUGGUCAGUAAUUUUUAAAAAGACCUUUUUUUAAAUUAAACUUUUUGUUAUUCAUUUGUCUAAAAUUGUUUUUAUAAUAUAAAAACAACUUUUGAACAAUGGAUCUCUUGGUUCUCGCAACGAUGAAGAACGCCAGCAAAAUGCGAUAAGUUAGUGUGAAUUGCAGAAAUACGUGAAUCAUCGAAUCUUCCGAACGCAUAUUGCACUUUUUCUAGUUUACUAGAAAAGUAUGUCUGUUUGAGUAUCAGUAAAAUAUUCUCAUAAAAACUAUUUGUUUUUUAUGGUUAUGAGUGUUUUACAACGAUACAAGUUGUUUCACUUUAAAUUUUUUUUUAAAAUUUGAAAUUUUUUCUAAUUUUAAUAUAAAAUUGGAUAAAAAUUUUCCCCGUAAAAAAGGAAUAACCUAAACAAUUUUAUAACUAUUAGAAUUUUUUCAGAAUAAAAAGGAAAAUUUAUUAAAAUAAACUUGAUCUCAAAUCAGAUAAGAGUACCCGCUGAACUUAAGCAUAUCAAUAAGCGGAGGAAAAAGAAAAACUAACAAGGAUUUCCCUUAGUAACGGCGAGUGGAAGCGGGAAGAGCUCAAAUUUGAAAUCUUCAAGGUCUUACCUUGACGAAUUGUAGUUUUAAAGAAAGUGUUUUUCUGUUGAAGUUUUGGUAAAAGUUUCUUUGGAAUAGGACAUCAUAGAGGGUGAGAAAUCCCGUAUUUGACCAUUAUUUUCAGCUGUGUGAUACACUUUCAAAGAGUCGGAUUGUUUGGGAAUGCAGUCCAAAAUGGGUGGUAAAUUUCAUCUAAAGCUAAAUAUUGGCGAGAGACCGAUAGCGAACAAGUACCGUGAGGGAAAGAUGAAAAAGAACUUUGAAAAGAGAGUUAAAACAGUACGUGAAAUUGUCAAAAGGGAAGCGUUUUGACACCAGUGUUGUUUUUCUCGAAAAUCAAUUAAAAAGAGUUUGAUUUUGUUGUGUAUUGAACCUUAACAGCUUGCAUUUCAAUUUUCUUGCUUUUUUUAAUGCACUUUUUCGUUUAACAAGUCAACAUCAGUUUCUUUUGUUGUAAAAAGGUCAUUGGAAGGUGGCUUUCUUUUCGGAGAAAGUGUUUAUAGCCUUUGACUUCUGCAAUCGGAGAGGACUGAAGGUCUGCAGCGUAGAUCCUUCGGGUUAGAUACAUUUGUGCUAAGUUAUAGCUUUUUAUAGACAACUUGUUGACUAUGAUUAGUCUUGUAGCUUACUCGCUGAUGCUAUUUUACCUACGCUUAGGAUGUUGAAG
RNAcentral lists this unclassified non-coding RNA (1465 nucleotides) under uncultured Neocallimastigales. RNAcentral's name for it is "partial contains small subunit ribosomal RNA, internal transcribed spacer 1, 5.8S ribosomal RNA, internal transcribed spacer 2, and large subunit ribosomal RNA". The stretch from base 668 to 1465 matches the Rfam family "Eukaryotic large subunit ribosomal RNA", at positions 1 to 631 of the family's 3401-position model. The record is from RNAcentral. Lineage: Eukaryota; Fungi; Neocallimastigomycota; Neocallimastigomycetes; Neocallimastigales.